Mastomys coucha (southern multimammate mouse) is the source of this 977-nucleotide long non-coding RNA. RefSeq lists it as uncharacterized. NCBI's taxonomy places the organism in Eukaryota, Metazoa, Chordata, Mammalia, Rodentia, Muridae. The transcript is spliced from 3 exons. The record is from RefSeq and is a predicted model, not a curated record.
GCGUUUCCUCUUCGUGGGAGAAGCCUGAGGCAGCCGGGGAGAGGGUCCCCAGAUCCCCCUGCAGGGAGAGGGCCGCACCCUCCUCCCUCCCGGGAGGAGCAGCUGGCAGUGGGGCGCGGUGCCUGGACUGGGUGCUCAGACGAGCCUUCGUCGCGGUUGCGGUACUUGUACAUGGCGUAGAGGAGGAUGAGGAUGCAGAGCGCCGCCGCCGCCACGAUGCCCACCACCAUGCCCGUGGUGCUGCUGGAUUCACGGAUCACCUCCACCGCGCCCGGCGGGCCACGCUCCCCCGGACCCGUGGGGUUGGCUGUGGGCAGACGGGGGAAACCGGGAGCUGAGGUCACGCCGGGGCGCAGGGGAGGCGGCCGCCGCGGCUCGAAGGCCGUGGGGACCCCAGGCCCCAGGGGAAAAGAGAGAGAAGAGAGAAGAGAGGGCGUCAGCGAGGGCCGGGGCGCGGGCGGCCGGCACAGAGAGAGAAACAACAGCCUCACACCCAAAUCGGUUCAAUUGGCUUUGGCGGAGACUACGCGGGCCGGGCCCGCCCGCCAGCCGGCCAGCGCCUGCGCUUUAAGCGGGCUGCGGCUCGGAUGCCCUGGGCACCCCACGCGCGGGCUCUGCGACUCUGGGUUUUGGUCUUUUUGUUUCGUCUUAAGAAACCAAACGGAACAGAAAGGAAAGGAAAUUGAAAAGAAACGGAAUUUUUUUUUCUACUGGUUUAAGGCUUUUAAAACAUACAACAGCAGCAUUUAAACAAACCUAACAACAAUAUCUUUUAGGUUUUUUUUUUAUAUAUAUUUCUUUUUGCUUUUUUUUUUUUGCUUUUGUUUUUAAAAAAGAAGAUAGCAUACCACGGAAUUCAGGCAACUUACAUCAACAAAUAGGCCGUGUGAUUUUAGCAUGAAGAAAAAAAUUACAAACAGAGCUGUGUAAGCGGGUUCUCCCGAAAAAAAUUAAGAAAAAACAACUUUUCCGUACAA